CCUACGGGUGGCAGCAGUGGGGAAUAUUGCACAAUGGGGGGAACCCUGAUGCAGCGACGCCGCGUGGGUGAAGGUGUCCUUCUGUACGUAAAGCUCUUUUAGCAGGAAAGAAAAUUACGGUACCUGACUAAGAAGCCACGGCUAUCUCCGUUCCAGCAGCCGCGGUACUACGGAGGGGGCAAGCGUUAUCCGGAUUUACUGGGUGUAACGGGGGCUUAGGCGGUAGAGCAGGUCCGUGGGGAAGGCCCGGGGCUCAACCCUGGGACUGCCCUGGAUACUGUCAUGCUGGAGUGCGGACGGGGCAGGAGGAAUGCGUGGUGUAGCGGUGAAAUGCAUAGAGAUCAGACAGAACACCGGUGGCGAAGGCAGCUUGCUAAACCGUAACUGACGUUGAGGCACGAAAGCGUGGGUAGCAAACAGGAUUAGAUACCCUAGUAGUC
RNAcentral lists this ribosomal RNA (440 nucleotides) under uncultured bacterium. RNAcentral's name for it is "partial 16S ribosomal RNA". It matches the Rfam family "Bacterial small subunit ribosomal RNA", at positions 338 to 795 of the family's 1533-position model. The record is from RNAcentral.